GAGUCUAAUUAAGUUAAUAAAAAAUUAUAAAGUUAGAGUUAAAUAACAAACAAUAAAUAAUCACAAUUAAAUAAUUAAAGAGUAAGAGAGAAAUUGAAUUUGGGCCUCCUUUGGGCCAAUUUCGCUGGAAAUUUUGGGUUUUAACCCAAUCCCGUUUUUGGUAUACAGCUGAUGUAUAUCAGUGUAUAUGAGCAUAUAUAUUAGCUCUUUUUGUGUAUAUCUUGCUUCCGAAUGGCUGCAUUUUUUAUUCCUGACCUCAACCUGUGGCUGCUGCAUUUUUACCAUAUGUGUCUGUGUAUAUCACCGUAUAUCAGUGAAUACAAGCUAUGUUUCAGCCUUUCGAAACCUAUUAUUUAGGCUUCCCUUUUGUUCGGAUGAGUGACGAGGCUGACCCGAUAAAGAAGGUUUUGUUGAGUUCCAUCCCGACAUGAAGAUGCAGGGGAAACGUGAGUCCAAUUGAACUCAUUUGGAGAACAAACCAUGCAUAGGAAAAUAAUAAAGAAUAUUAGUAUAUAACCGCAAUAUUAUCAUUCUUUGUCAAAGAAAACUAGUGCAUUAAAAUCACAUAUUAUGACUAAAUAACCCACCUUCAGGGCAGCAUAAGAACUUAACUCAUGACCAAGUGAACUUUGCAAAAGUGUGCGCAUGCACAACAUCAUCAGUAAAGAUCAAAUAAGAAUUAUUUAUUUAGACAUGAACUUACUAGCCUUUGACAUCUAAAGUAAACGGACCAACCAUUUUCAACCUAUCCAUAUGAAUAAAUCUUUGCAACUAACCCAACACAUAUUUAGACCAAUAUUUGAACGAAACUUAAUUUAAAAGAGGACUCAGGAUAAAUAAAUCAGGGAAUUGAUUAAAAGAAAUAGAUCAAGCUAAGCAAUGAGGACUUCACAUUAAACACUAAAUUAGCAGAUAAGAGUGGUACUUGGAGCAGAUUUAAACCAUGAAUCAUAAGAUAAGUCAAAUGUGAAUGAAUCCAAAACAUAUGGGUUUGAACCAAACUAGGUAACUAAAAAAAUAACGAGGUGAAAUCAGAGGACGACCACGCAUAAAUUGCAUCCUAUAUUCAGAGAUUGAAACACCAAUCCUUCAACAUAAUAAAACUUCACGAGGCAUUAAUAAUCAGAGAACCCAGAUCAGAGAAAUAUAAACAUAACAUGAAUACUUAGAUUUACACCCUAUAAUACACCUAAAAUGAGUAAAAUGAAAAGUAAAACUCAAGAGGCAGCCUAUGAGCUUAAACAAAUAACCAACGAAAAUCACACACAGUAGGCUAGGAUGAGACUAAAUUUAAGCUAAAACAUUAACAACAUAGAUUCAAAAUCGAAGGUUAUAGCGCUAAAUGAAGACAAGAGUGUAAUCAAUUCCAUGAAACUGAAUUGAGCUUUAACGUAGUUUCAUUUAUGUUCAUGGCAAAAGUGACCAAACUAGGGUGAAAUAAACAAACGAUAACAUUAAGGACGACAUUCGAUUACAGACAACUUCACAAAUCCAACAAGAACAAGUUACGAAAUAACAGAGACAAUGAUCAAGUUGAUUUAGAUAUUAAAAACUAAAAACCAUUAAAGACACAUAAAUGAAAGCAUGAAACAACGAAGAACCAAAUAAACCAAAAUUAAGAAGAGAAAUCACCUCUUUCCGGGCAGCGAAACGGGGACGAGACGAUCUGAGAGCAGCGAUUCUUCUAUCACGAAAUCUCAAUAUGAACAGCAAGCCAAGAGAAUCGGAACUUAGAAUCAAAGGACUAAAUGCGAAAAUCUAAAGUAUAAAGUGAUUAUUUGCUGAAAAACUC
Molecule: long non-coding RNA, 1792 nt
Filed under: Solanum tuberosum (potato)
Lineage: Eukaryota; Viridiplantae; Streptophyta; Magnoliopsida; Solanales; Solanaceae
Description: long non-coding RNA (STUB_LNC002000)
Source: RNAcentral